RNAcentral lists this ribosomal RNA (264 nucleotides) under Triticum aestivum (bread wheat). Its description in RNAcentral is "partial small subunit ribosomal RNA". The record is from RNAcentral. Lineage: Eukaryota; Viridiplantae; Streptophyta; Magnoliopsida; Poales; Poaceae.
AUGUCAGCACUCUUUAGAGGCUAUCGCUCGUUUACCGCAGAUCUCCAUCCCACAACUGGUAAUAAAAUCGCGCAAGCACUUGGUUCGCCCCUUACUAUAACCAUCCCACUCAAUCUUUUACACCGAUGUUUCGUAGUCUCUCGACAAGGUCAUCAUAAGCACACUUGUCGUCUAGGGACCACCCACAUUCAUUCAUUCAUUGUUCUGUUGUGGAUUCGAACCACUAGCACAAAUUUGAUUUCGAGUCAAAGGGCGCUUCUUUAG